RNAcentral lists this long non-coding RNA (3826 nucleotides) under Zea mays. RNAcentral describes it as "long non-coding RNA (ZMAY_LNC001189)". Lineage: Eukaryota; Viridiplantae; Streptophyta; Magnoliopsida; Poales; Poaceae. The record is from RNAcentral.
AGUGGAAGCCGAGGGCCGCCGCGGUUGCAAGAACUGGGCUGUGGUGCACGCCGAAGCGAACCAUGGGCUAAUAGAGCGAAGGUAGUGCUUGGAGUUCGAAGGAAAGUUUGCCAGAGUUCACGUCUCGUGGGGAACUUCACUGUGUCGACGAUGGCCAGCCUCGUCGUCGAUUGUGUCGAUGGCCAGCCUCGUCGUUGAUUGAGCAUCGCGGCCAAGUCUGUUGUGACCGGGAUUCUUCAACACGUUCCACCUCGAGGUAUGGAUCCAAAUGCUAGCAGCAGCAUCUCUCAACUACUUCCGCGUGAUGCGAUGGUGCUGGGUACGUAGAUGUGCUUCCGCUCUCUGCUGCAUGCCGUUGUAGGCCAUCCUAUUGCCUCUCACGCCCUAAAACCGGGUCUCCGGCUAACCACCUAGCUUGCGGACAAACUCUCGCCGACGGAGGUUCACCAUGCCGCAUGGACAGCUUCGCCUUGCCUCCUAACCUUCGGUAAUGCCCCUUGGAUCGAUUCGACACCUUCUCUGCAUUGCUUAGCACCUAGUUACGCUUGGAAUCAAGCCCUGGCAUGAUAAUUGGGUGCUCCGCGGUCAUGGCGCCGCCGUGGGUAGGGCCGGCGUGCUGCCGUAUUCCGGCUGGGAGGAAGAAAACUGGCAGCCAUUGGAUUGGAAGUUGACGGUUAGGAUGGGUUAUGGGAAGGAUGUACCGUGGACCGUUGAUCGCGGAAUGGACGUAUCGGAUUAGAUUCACAUAUACCCGUUCGACUCAUUAAAUCCAGGGCGUAGAUCUUGGAUCCUAGGGCUCGGGUUGCGUACCGAUUUGUGCGCGGCCAGAUUUAAUCGUGACCUUUGGUUUGGAUCGGACGGCUCUGAAUCAACGAUACCCCUUCGCCCUGGCUUUCUUUCUAAAGAGACCCCGGAAAACUUGCUAUUCAACCCGCGGUCUAUCGCCUGGGUUCUCUGUGUCUUGGUGCACUUUGCGCCAGGGCCCCUGCACUUCCUAAUAUUAGUGGGCCCAGUCCAGAGUAUUAUAAAACAGAGAAAAUAAUUUAUAAAUGGGUUUUUAAUAGAUAAAUAAAUGCUAGAACUUGUUUAAAUCAUAGAAAAUCCAUUUUUAGUCCAAAUUAAUCCAUUCCACUUUCUAAAAUUUUGUAAUUUUAUUAUCUACCACCUAGAGCCUCUGUUUUGUCAUGAAAACAAUUAGAAAUUUAAUCUCUCACUUAAUCCAUUCUAAGCACAUAGAAUCUUUGGAAAUCCAUAACUUAAAAUCUAUAACUCCGAAAUUAAUGAUUCCUGUUCCUAUGAUCUUAUUUUAAUAUGUAUAUUAUUAAUGUGUAUUUUGUUCUUAUGUGUGGUGUAAUGUUAAUUUUGCCUAUACCAUGUUUGUUUGAAUUGCUACGACUAGCAGUGAGGUCACGAGUCACCUGAAGAUCAUCCUGGUACCUGGAAUCUCAAGUCCCAGGCAAGUUGUGCCCUUGAUCACUUCUUUUACCCACUCAUGUUCUAAUUAAUCAUAAUGAUCUGCAUAGGUUAAUUUGAUGGGACCUAAUAGGUUACCCUAGAUUGUCUAUCUUUAUACCUUGUUUACCACUGAACUUUUUGGGUAGUACUUGCUAGUGCUUUAUGUGGUUUUGGGUAUGAAGAUACAUUAUUCAUGAUCACACUUUUAUUAUCAGUUUAUUAUUACUGUUCAUGAUAAGAUCAUUAUGUUAAUUGGAACAUGGAGAACCACCCGGGAAAACAGUGCUACCACAAGGGAGGAAUGGGACCCCUUGGCUGAUUAAUUAGGAAAGCUAGUGGAAGACUACCUUACCCGAAAGGGGCAAGGGCAGUAGGGGAGUGGUCAUUGUAGGGAGGCCCUCGGGAGGAUUUUGCUGCAAUGGCGGUCCUGCAAGGGAUUCCUGCAUUGGAGCUUCCUAUAAACUGUAGCGGGUUUUCUGAAGCUAGUGGAACUUUGUAAAGGCAUCGUAGUGUUACCCUGCCUCGCCUCCUCGGUAGAGGUGUAUGGGAAGUCGCGAUCCCUUGGCAGAUGGGUAACAUGACUUGUGGGUAAAGAUGCGCAACCUCUGCAGAGUGUAAAACUGGUAUACUAGUCGUGCUCACGGUCAUGAGCAGCUCGGACCCUCACAUGAUUAAAUUAUGGAACUAAAUUCAAUUUGUCAUAUGCAUUGCAUCGCAGGUGAUGUUGUUACUACUUUUGUUCUACUACUUAAUUGGGGUAUUUACUUAUACUUAGUAAUUGCUAAUAAAAUUUUGACCAACUUUAAAAGCAAUGCUCAGCUUCAACCAUCCUCUUUGGUAAGCCUUACACUUCACGUGAGCUCCCACCUUUGGCGAGUUCAUGCACAUUAUUCCCCACAACUUGUUGAGCGAUGAACGUAUGUGAGCUCACUCUUGCUGUCUCACACCCCCACAGGUCAAAAACAGGUACCACAGGAUGAGGCGCAUGGAGGAUGCUGUGAUGAGUUCGUGAGAGGUCUAGGCCGUCAUCUCCCAGUCAACUUUGGGUUGCUGGACCGUUGUCUCCCUAUAAUGUAAUUAUUUAUUUUGUAUAGAAUUCCUGUUAUAUAUAAAGAUGUGACAUUCGAUCCUGUGCCAUUAUACAUCAUAUGUGUGAGACUUGGUCCCAGCAUACCUGGUGUUUAUGUUCGCGCCCGGGUCUUGGUGCCCCCGAAAUCCGGAUGUGACAGAAGUGGUAUCAGAGGAAUGUUGACUGUAGGACGAAACCUAGAUAGAACUGGACAACCAUUGUCUACUUACCUUUGCUACUCUGAUCUUUUCUAAACUUUCCUUAAUCUUUCUCAUCUAUUUCCGCUUUACUCUGAUUAUUCUUACCUUUUCAUUCUAAAGACAAAUGUGGAUUUCACACUUUGAAGUCAUGUAUCUAAAGUAACUUUUAGGAGUAGGAGACCUAUUCUUAGGAAUAAAAAAACAAAACUAUUUUUUUAUUUAUAUGCUUGAAUGUUUGUUCUUGUAAUACAUGUCUGAUUUGGAUCUUUGAUUAAGUGUGAUGAGUUAUGGAGUAAUGUCCACAAUUACAUCUGUAUAUACAUAUAGGCAUAAAUAUAAAUAAAUAAAAUUCAUAAGAUAGCUAAUCAACUUGGAAUAUCCCUCGUUAAAAUAUAUUUAGCUUAAUAGAUCUAUCUUAUCUUAAAAGAUACACUAUUACCUUAGUAGAUUCAUCUUAUCUUGAAAGAUUCAUAUUAUCCAAACCACUUGAUUUAUCCCACCAUGAUCAUGAUCUAGACCAAAAUAAUGAGAUCUUAACUAGUUUAAUCUAGUCAUAUUCAGUCUAAUUUAGAUCCUAUCUAAGCUUAUAUGAUCCAAUCUAGUGUGAGUUACUUAAUGCUGGUACAAAGGAUAAGGCCAUACUCCAAAUUCACUUAAGCCUAAAUUGGUGACUUAGAGCAACUAAGCCCUACACGACAACUUGACCUACAUAAUAGGUUACAUAACUUAUCCAACCAACCUAGAAGCAAAACAACAAGAUAGACAGUGCUUAAAUUUACUUAACUCAUAACCACCUCCUACCCUACUUUGGGUACAUACAAAUCUGCCUUAACUACAUGUUCCUAAUUCGGAUAACAACUUCAAGAACAAAGAUCGAAGAUGAUCGGCUUCAUCAAAUCAAGGAAGAAUAAGAUUCAAGCUAGAUCCUCAAGGGAAUCAAGAUCCACAAUCUUGGAUGGAGUCUUUUCUUACCCUACUCUUUCUUACCCCAAACCUAUAAAUGCUUUAAAGAUAUCUUUUAUCCUGCAUAAUAAAGUGGCUAUACCCAUAAAGACCCAGGCUUUCCUAAUCACUUGAUGAUUUGCGAUAUAGAAAAAAAAAA